ACAGCAAUAUGAAGGUCAGGCUGAAGACCUUACCCGAUUAGGCUGAGAGGUGGUGCAUGGCCGUCGUCAGUUCGUACUGUGAAGCAUCCUGUUAAGUCAGGCAACGAGCGAGACCCACGUCCACAGUUGCCAGCAUACCCUCCGGGGUGAUGGGUACACUGUGGAGACCGCCGGCUGCUAAAGCGGAGGAAGGAGUGGGCAACGGUAGGUCAGUAUGCCCCGAAUCUCCCGGGCUACACGCGGGCUACAAUGGUUGGUACAAUGGGCAUCUACCCCGAAAGGGGAAGGAAAUCUCUUAAAGCCAAUCGUAGUUCGGAUUGAGGGCUGCAACUCGCCCUCAUGAAGCUGGAAUCCGUAGUAAUCGCGUUUCAACAGAACGCGGUGAAUACGUCCCUGCUCCUU
RNAcentral lists this ribosomal RNA (402 nucleotides) under uncultured Methanosaeta sp. RNAcentral's name for it is "bacterial SSU rRNA". It matches the Rfam family "Archaeal small subunit ribosomal RNA", at positions 939 to 1338 of the family's 1478-position model. Lineage: Archaea; Methanobacteriati; Methanobacteriota; Methanomicrobia; Methanotrichales; Methanotrichaceae. The record is from RNAcentral.